GGGAUUUUGUGUCAUCAUUACUGCAGCAGGAUCCCAGGAAGCGGCCGAGUGCUACUUCCUGUCUCCAACAUCUGUGGGUGGGUCGUGGAGGUGGGGAGUACUCCAAGACACCACUGGACACGGCACGGUUGGCCACAUUUAUCGAUCGAAGGAGACAACUGCACGACGUUCGGCCCAUUAUGAACGUGAAAGGGCUGGACUGAACUAAGGGUGGUGUAAUAUUUGCUCUGGGGACCUAGAGCAGUCCGUUUACUCGACACAUGGAGUUCAGAGGAUGCCUAAACCUACUGAACUAAACGAGUGUGACUGUACAGCCGUGUAGCAGCAGACUCUGACUGAACUGUAGUGAAUGUGCUGGACUGUCCUGAACCACAAUAAACGGAGUUAAAAUGCAAACAUGUUGGCAUUACUUCAAGGAAGAUCAAACAGCGUCUGGAUCGCCGCCUUCUGUGGUACAUAUGGACGACUACCGGACGUUAGCAGGAUGCACCAUGGACACAGUUUGCAUCAGUGUUUACAGAUUCUUUGUCCAAAAAGUAGGUAGUUUACAGACUAGUAAAUACAAAUCAGGAAAGACCUGCAUGUAAAUCACCAGUAAUGGUUUAGAAAUCAGGUUACAAAACUGUCUGUUUCUGUAAGUAAAGCCUGUGACAUUUGGUGUGAAGGUGGGAAACUCCACCCUGAAGUCUGUUUUGUUGUAUGUUUGUUUACCAGUCACUGUGGUGAAUAACUGUAGUGGUUGGAUCUCAUUCAUUCAGCUUGUAAAUGUGCUCGUGCGGCUGCAGACCCUUUGGAUGAAGUGGCCGCUGUUCCUGGGAGGCAGACGUUUACUGAUGAAUGUACUUUCUUGUGGAAUGUGCUCUGUCGUCUGCUUUCACCCACUCGCCACACUCCCCGUUUUUCAUCCUCAAUCUUCCUCUAAGCAUUUAGUGUCAAACAACAGCAAAGCUCAUGUUCAUGCUUGGAUACUAAAUGGUCCACAGGAAGGGAAUUCGUCUUUAGAAGCAACUUUCAUAUCGGACGUCUGGUAAAAUAUUACCAAGUGUCUGUCACUGCAGCUGCAAUCGAUUCAGGUGUGUCCGAGUGCUGUUUUUCUUUUUUUACCACUCUCUCUUUCUAGUAGAGAUUCUUGCUGUCUUAUUGUGGACUUGUUGGUCUUGUUCAUUAUUUGAACUAAAAAUAGCAGACUUCCCCAGUUUUUUCGACCUCUCAUGCAAAAUAAAUCAAUCAAUA
Long non-coding RNA from Astatotilapia calliptera (eastern happy), 1233 nucleotides. NCBI's taxonomy places the organism in Eukaryota, Metazoa, Chordata, Actinopteri, Cichliformes, Cichlidae. The record is from Ensembl.